Molecule: unclassified non-coding RNA, 330 nt
Filed under: soil metagenome
Description: partial contains 5.8S ribosomal RNA, internal transcribed spacer 2, and large subunit ribosomal RNA
Rfam family: 5.8S ribosomal RNA (bases 1-120)
Source: RNAcentral
GAUGAAGAACGUAGCGAAAUGCGAUAAGUAAUGUGAAUUGCAGAAUUCAGUGAAUCAUCGAAUCUUUGAACGCACAUUGCGCCCGCUAGUAUUCUGGCGGGCAUGCCUGUUCGAGCGUCAUUUCAACCAUCAAGCCCUAGGCUUGCGUUGGAGCCCUGCGGCUGCCGCAGGCUCCCAAAUCCAGUGGCGGGCUCGUCGUCGUACCGAGUGCAGUAAACAUCCUCGCUCAGGGAACGUGACGGGUUCUUGCCGUGAAACCCCCCACAUAUCAAGGUUGACCUCGGAUCAGGUAGGAAUACCCGCUGAACUUAAGCAUAUCAAUAAGCGGAA